This 283-nucleotide long non-coding RNA is filed under the name Olea europaea subsp. europaea. Lineage: Eukaryota; Viridiplantae; Streptophyta; Magnoliopsida; Lamiales; Oleaceae. The record is from RNAcentral.
AUUAGAGGCAGGAACUAGGGUACAAGGAGAUAGAGGAGGAAGAGGACAACAAAGAAAAAUGGAGAGAUUUUGGUGGGAAAUCUAGACCAGGUCCAUAUUCAUUUCAGAAAUCCAACCAAGAGACAAGUUUAUCUUCUGUCUCGUAUUUUAUUCAUUAUUUUCUCUGACUUGUAAUGUAUUUUUCUAACUCUUCCCCUUUUUAUCAUUUUUAUGCAAUGAGAUAAGUUCUUUAUGUUGAGAUGAUUGAUGUAGCUUAACCUACCAUGAUUAAUUUUAAUAUUUG